RNAcentral lists this ribosomal RNA (301 nucleotides) under uncultured bacterium. RNAcentral's name for it is "partial 16S ribosomal RNA". It matches the Rfam family "Bacterial small subunit ribosomal RNA", at positions 509 to 809 of the family's 1533-position model. The record is from RNAcentral.
CAGUAGCCGCGGUAAUACGUAGGGUGCGAGCGUUGUCCGGAAUUACUGGGCGUAAAGAGCUCGUAGGCGGUUUGUCGCGUCGUCUGUGAAAUUCUGCAGCUUAACUGUAGGCGUGCAGGCGAUACGGGCAGACUUGAGUACUACAGGGGAGACUGGAAUUCCUGGUGUAGCGGUGAAAUGCGCAGAUAUCAGGAGGAACACCGGUGGCGAAGGCGGGUCUCUGGGUAGUAACUGACGCUGAGGAGCGAAAGCGUGGGUAGCGAACAGGAUUAGACCCCCGUAGUCCCUGUCUCUUAUACAC